GCCAUUCAUGCUGCAGAUGUCUGAGUGACAAUUACCUGUAAGGCACAUCAUGCAGGGAGCAGCCACCUCUGGUGACACUUGACAGAUGGCCUCUCAUUUCAUACUCAGCACAGGUGUGAAAGCAUGGAUUAUGACUCCGAGAGGGAAGCAGCAUUUUAAAGUGACAAACCCAAGGUCUAACUGAGAAAUGGCUUGAGAAAGACAUGUUGAAGAGGAAAAAUACGUUAAGGCUUGCCAAUCAGCUGACUGCAGCAGCAGCAGCAGCAGUGAUGCACAGAUCUGAUCUGCGUUGGCAAUAUACUUGUAAUUCGGACAUGCAUCUCCAGGACACCAGCCUUAGCAGGAAGGGGAGCCAGUCAAGGGGAAACAAUUAUGCAAAUUUAAAAUGUAAACUCUCUGGAGCCCCUGCCACAACCUGGAAAAGUCUGUGAACCUUUGCUUUAGAGGGAAGAUUCCCUGGAUUACCACAGACCUUUAUUUCAUAUCUCUAUAAGAAUCAUGAUGUUUCCAAGGCAGCACAUGGUUUGGGGAAAUUGGAGAGAAUACUCCCGAUGGAAAGGGAUAACAUCACAGCUGCCACAACAAUGCUAUCCAGUGAGCAAAUGUCGGAUGUUCAGAGGGGCCAAGUCAUCUUGAUUAGAAUCGUGGAGGUAUGAGUUUCAAAGUGGAAUAAUCUCAUAUUUAAUAA
This 688-nucleotide long non-coding RNA is filed under the name Gorilla gorilla gorilla (western lowland gorilla). Its description in RNAcentral is "lncRNA (ENSGGOG00000044641.1)". Lineage: Eukaryota; Metazoa; Chordata; Mammalia; Primates; Hominidae. The record is from RNAcentral.